This 218-nucleotide long non-coding RNA is filed under the name Elaeis guineensis (African oil palm). RNAcentral's name for it is "long non-coding RNA (EGUI_LNC000150)". Lineage: Eukaryota; Viridiplantae; Streptophyta; Magnoliopsida; Arecales; Arecaceae. The record is from RNAcentral.
ACCACAGUAAUACUUAUCAUUAUAAGUGAGUUAUUCUAUCCAAUAAAAAAAUUAAAAUAAAAAAUUUAGCCUUCCAAAUAAAAUCAAAAAAAUAUUUUAAUUUAUGGAACAGGACAAGACAAUCCGAGGGACAAAGUUAAAAAAUAUUUUGUACAGGAAGAUAAUUUUUAAAAUCUUUUCUGACAAAAUUUUUCCAAUCAAUAUAUUAGAAAUGCCAA